UACGUAGGGGGCUAGCGUUAUCCGGAAUUACUGGGCGUAAGGGUGCGUAGGUGGUUUCUUAAGUCAGAGGUGAAAGGCUACGGCUCAACCGUAGUAAGCCUUUGAAACUGGGAGACUUGAGUGCAGGAGAGGAGAGUGGAAUUCCUAGUGUAGCGGUGAAAUGCGUAGAGAUUAGGAAGAACACCAGUGGCGAAGGCGAUUCUCUGGACUGUAACUGACGCUGAGGCUCGAAAGCGUGGGGAGCAAACAGGAUUAGAUACCCUGGUAGUCCCUGA
This 275-nucleotide ribosomal RNA is filed under the name uncultured prokaryote. RNAcentral's name for it is "partial 16S ribosomal RNA". It matches the Rfam family "Bacterial small subunit ribosomal RNA", at positions 524 to 800 of the family's 1533-position model. The record is from RNAcentral.